UUUAGUUUACUGAUCUCUAUUUCCAUUAGUUUAUGCAUUCAAUUUUUUAUUAUUUUUAUGUUAAUAUAUUUGUUGUUGUUGAGGACAAGGAAGACGACAACGAAGAAGGUGAUGAAGCCAGAGAUGAUGUGAAAAGAAAAGGUUUGAGAUAUUUGCGUUUGAUACUAUUAAAUUUAAUACUAUUAAAUUUAAAAUUUAUAUGAUAGCCUCAUUGUACCUCAAGUAACGCACACUUUACACCAAUUUUGGGCACUAAAUGCAUAAUAAUUAUUGAGCAUUAGUUUAUGCAUUCAAUUUUUUAUUAUUUUUAUGUUAAUAUAUUUGUUGUUGUUGAGGACAAGGAAGACGACAACGAAGAAGGUGAUGAAGCCAGAGAUGAUGUGAAAAGAAAAGCUUGGACUUUUGGGCCUUGGAGAUGAUGGAGAUGAUGGGAGUGACGUGGAGAAUGCUAGGGUUGCUACUAAGUUUUAUUUUACUCCCUUUUGGAGAUAGUAAAAUAAGAUUUUCACACGAGAAUAUCCAAUGUUAUUUUGUCUAUCUAAUUUUUCUAUAAAUCUAAACAUAUAUGAAAGGUGAGUUUUGGCCAA
Molecule: non-coding RNA, 587 nt
Organism: Salvia hispanica
Lineage: Eukaryota; Viridiplantae; Streptophyta; Magnoliopsida; Lamiales; Lamiaceae
Source: RefSeq, a predicted model, not a curated record